Erigeron canadensis is the source of this 2146-nucleotide long non-coding RNA. RefSeq lists it as uncharacterized. NCBI's taxonomy places the organism in Eukaryota, Viridiplantae, Streptophyta, Magnoliopsida, Asterales, Asteraceae. The transcript has 9 exons. The record is from RefSeq and is a predicted model, not a curated record.
UGACACAAUCCGUAUUUUUAAUUAUAAUUUGCUUUACUUUAAUAAUAAAGAUAAAAUCUAUUUCAUUCAUUCAUUCAAAGGAACACUAAUCGUCUAUAGUAUCAACAUGUGCAAGGAUAUGUUGGUUGUAACGUCUUUACGAGGACUGCAUCAGAGGACGCGUUAAAGAUUUUCAUAUCAUAAAAAACACGGACAUGUGUUUAUACUACCUUCUUCGUACACAGAUAUUGGUUUCACAAAUAAACAUAUAAUAUGUGCAUACAACUUUCUAGGAUUAUUUUUGUAUUGGGAGAAGAUGACCGUUUUCCCAAAAAAAAAUCAGGCAACUUUUAUGCGGGAAGGUCUAUCUUCCAGACCAACUGGUGAGUUAAACCAGUUGCUUUCAAAAUGGUCCCUUUGGGUUUCACCAGCGUAUGCCAAUUCCGUGCACAUAGGCAAGAAAUAAUUCAGAUAUCUUUGGGGUCCAGAGAGCUUGACAAGAUAUUAGAUGGAGGAAUCAAGAAUGGAAUGAGUUUUAUCUGUACUUUGUCAAAACCGGUGGUUAUAUCAAUAGUAGAAUCACAGUCCCAAGGAAGAUCACAAAUUCAAGCAAACCCAAAAAAUAAGAAAUUCGAAUUAUAGACUAAAGAAUAUCUUAGAUGCAUGGUAGAGCAAAAUUAAAUGUGAUGGGGGUGAUGAUAUUGAUCUACAAAGCCAGGAUAUUAAGGAGCUGGUUAAAAAGAGUCGAGGAGGUUGCAGGGUUUGCAGCCAAAGAUUAGUAAAUGGUUGCCGAAUACAAUUUUCAGAAGAAGAAAAGUGAUGACACAGGACUGCUUCCAGAACCCGCUGAAAGAAAGCAGCAGCUUUCUGCAGGAAGUAAUCAAACUCAUCUAUUAUACAUAUUCAUCUGUUGUGUUUCUUUGUUAGUGAUGGUUCAUAAGCAUUAUCGUGCUUCAGACUCAGUGUAUUAAAGAGACGGAGUGAUUAGGGCUGUCUAUUGUUGGGCUUGAACCCUAAAUAUGCUCGCCCAAAUUGGAUAUGUCCUUCAAACAACACUGCCUCCCGUCAAACCACCUGUCACGAAGGAUACCUCAGCUCGGAGUGUGUCUUGGUUUAAUGAAUGCUUCGAUUGUGGACCUGCAGCAAAGUCUAUUGUUCCUAAGUUCAGAGUGUUCUCAAAGCAUGUUCCCACACAUACCGGCUUCAAAGUGCCAUAAUUUGAGAUCAAUCUUCUGGUUGUUGGAGCUAUAUUCUUCAAGGGUAUUAGAAGCUUUCUUUUCAUACUGAACAGCUCACUUGGCGCUUUUCUUUUGAUCGUCCACCAGCUGAGUGCUACUCCCAUCUUUUAUUCUUUUACAUGACUUCUACAACCACGAUGUAGAGACACAAAUUUGCUCAACUUCUUUUUAUCAAGUUUACACUAGUUCCAACAACACAUCUCUACUCUUUGUUAAAUUGUUUCUAGGGUAUAUAUUGCAUGAUUUGGUUCAAACCUUUAUAUAUAAACGCUGAAUGUGGUUUUUUGUAGAAUUUGGCAUUGGAGGACUAAUUUUUUCCUUUGGGAUGAAAAGCUCUACUUCAAGAAGAGUGGAUACAAUUCAUAAAGGAACGCCGUUCUUUUGACUCUUUGGUUCCGAGCAGCUACUCCUGGAAAUAUGUCUUUGUAUCUUACAAUAUAUUAUAAGAUUGAAGACAUAUCGAUUGCUAUGUGAUAUCGCACUUUACAUACACAUCAUAUGUUGGAAAAGCUAUGAAAAUUAUAUUAACAGCGGGAAUCAUCAUCUUCCACGACAUGUUCGAGGCUUCCCCAUUUUGUGGAUUUACCAUAUGAAAGUGGGGCUAUCGCAUCAAACCAUAGAAGGAAAGGAGAAGCCCUUGCUAUAUAUGGUUUAACAGAAUAUGGUGAUGAAAUUGAUGUUAUUGCUCCAGCUAACAUUAAUAUGGAGAUGAAAUUGAUGUUAUUGCUCCAGCUAACAUUCUGAAGCAAAUAUUUAAGAUCCCAUACUCUAGGGCUCGCCUUUCGAUUGAUGUGCAUCGCAUUGGGCAGUCUCUCAUAUUGGAUACAAGGUGUAUUGGAUAUCCGUAAGGAUGACUUUGCUUUCUGUUAUAUUCCUCGUGAUGUGGUUUUUUUGAUAAAUUAAGGCUGGCUUGGUCCAGGUUAUAUGAA